CAGAUUUUAAAAUAUAUUAAAAAUUACAUUCUGAUAAUAAUCUGAUAAUUUUUUUUUUCAUGUGUUGUAUAUAUAUAUAUAUAUAUAUAUAUAUAUAUAUAUAUAUAUAUAUAUAUAUAUAUAUACACAACACACACACACACACACACACACACAUGACACAUUAUUUGUUUUAUGACACAAACAUAGCACAUAAAACAUGACACAUGUUCUGAAAAUGAUUUGGACAUAAAAAAAAAAAAACUAAUUUGAGAUUUUAGGGCAACGAACAUAAGAAUUGUGUGUGUGUGUGUGUGUGUGUGCUAAUAAUGACCAGUGGGAGUCUGAGACCUGUAGAACCAGGGAAAAUUCCCUCCAAGGUGUCUGGCCGGACUCUCCUGUCAUCAGGGCUGUGAUUGCGUUUCUCUCUCUUUCUCUUCCCGAGAGAGCGAGUGACAGAAGGGAUGAGAGAAGCCGACUAAAAUGUGUGAAAGAAAUGUGCGGCGGACUCGGUGCUGCAUCCCUUCAGCAACAGAUGGGCUCCUAAUGAACAAUCCUCCAGCCAACAAUGUGGAAUGAGCUGAACAACGUCAAGAGCCGCACGUGGAGACAGCAGGACUACCGAAUGAGUCAGUGGGCCACCAGACUCCCGUUGCAGACGUGGGUUGUUUAUCCAAAUAGGACAGAGGAGAUGUCACUACAGGUGAGCACAGGAGGUUACCUAAACCACCUGUCCACUGGUUUGGAUCCUAGAGGCCACCUGUUUCCUCAGAAACAAAUUGUUGGAGCUCUGUCAGUGUGGCAGAAGUCAUUACUGAGCUGCGUGGAAUAGAGAUCGCAUCUUUGCUGAAGGUGAAAGAUUGCUGCAGAAUUUCCCCUCAUCCAAAUGAAGCAGGACAGAAUGGAGUGAAGAGGAGCAGAAGCCAGCAGAAGCUGAUUGAAGACGGAGUGCUUGUGUUACUGUUUGAGGUCAGUUUCAUUUCACCCCAAAGAGAAAAAAAAUAAAAAUCAACAAGGCCGGGAGUCGUCUUUAAACCUCUAAAUAACCAUCAGAAAAACACUAAACACAGCGGAUGAGGGAAGGAUGUCAACCUCCUUCCCAUCAGGAUUCAAAUCGUUCGUUCUUUAUGACACAGUUAAACAUGAAACAUAAAGACUUAUUUUAUAUGCUUAUUUUUUUAAUGACAUAGCAUGAAACAAAUAGAUUUGAUGUAAAUGGUUGCCAGGGUGUUGCUAUGUGGUUGCGAGCAUGUUUUGAAUGGUUGCUAGGGGAUUUAAUGGUGGUUACUAGGGUGUUCUGUUUGGCUGCCAGGUUAUUUUUCUGAGGUUGAUAUGAUAUUUUGAGUGGUUACCAUUGCAUGGUUUCUAAGCUUUUUAUAUGUAGUUGUUAGGGUGUGCUGGGUGGUUGCCAGGGAGUUCCUAUGUUGUUGCUACAUUAUUCUAAGUGGUUGCCAGGGAAUUGCUGUGAGUUUACUAGAAUAUUCUGAAAGGUUGCCAGGGCAUUGCUAUGUGGUUACUAAGGUGUUGACUGUGGAGUGUUCUAAAUGGUUGCCAGGGAGUUGCUAUGCGGUUGCUAAGGUUUAGAUUAUGUAGUUGCCAGUGUGUUCUGAUUGGUUGCCAGAGUGUUGCUGUCUGAUGGCUAUGAUAUUCUGUGUGGUAAAUCUUCCCUUAAAACAUUUUUUUUUUAGGGUAGCUUUUACUUGAUAAUUUUGUAAUUGUCACAUUUCUCUUUUUACUC
Cyprinus carpio carpio is the source of this 1717-nucleotide long non-coding RNA. The record is from Ensembl. Lineage: Eukaryota; Metazoa; Chordata; Actinopteri; Cypriniformes; Cyprinidae.